CGCAAUACGGGAGCGGCAGACGGGAGAGUAACACGUGGGAACGUACCCUUCAGUUCGGAACAACCCAGGGAAACUUGGGCUAAUACCGAAUACGUCCGUAAGGAGAAAGAUUUAUCGCUGAAGGAUCGGCCCGCGUCUGAUUAGCUAGUUGGUGAGGUAACGGCUCACCAAGGCGACGAUCAGUAGCUGGUCUGAGAGGAUGAUCAGCCUCAUUGGGACUGAGACACGGCCCAA
This 234-nucleotide ribosomal RNA is filed under the name uncultured bacterium. RNAcentral describes it as "partial 16S ribosomal RNA". It matches the Rfam family "Bacterial small subunit ribosomal RNA", at positions 83 to 334 of the family's 1533-position model. The record is from RNAcentral.